UUGAUCCCUGGCUCAGGACGAACGCCUGGCGGCGUGCCUAAUACAUGCAAGUCGAGCGGAAUGAUGAAGAAGCUUGCUUCUUCUGAUUUAGCGGCGGACGGGUGAGUAACACGUGGGCAACCUACCUUGUAGAUUGGGAUAACUCCGGGAAACCGGGGCUAAUACCGAAUAAUCCAUUUUGCUUCAUGGCAAGAUGUUGAAAGGCGGCUUCGGCUGUCACUACGAGAUGGGCCCGCGGCGUAUUAGCUAGUUGGUAGGGUAAUGGCCUACCAAGGCGACGAUACGUAGCCGACCUGAGAGGGUGAUCGGCCACACUGGGACUGAGACACGGCCCAGACUCCUACGGGAGGCAGCAGUAGGGAAUCUUCCACAAUGGACGAAAGUCUGAUGGAGCAACGCCGCGUGAGUGAAGAAGGUUUUCGGAUCGUAAAACUCUGUUGUAAGGGAAGAACACGUACGAGAGUAACUGCUCGUACCUUGACCGGUACCUUAUUAGAAAGCCA
RNAcentral lists this ribosomal RNA (503 nucleotides) under Sporosarcina sp. CL5.5. RNAcentral describes it as "bacterial SSU rRNA". It matches the Rfam family "Bacterial small subunit ribosomal RNA", at positions 13 to 493 of the family's 1533-position model. Lineage: Bacteria; Bacillati; Bacillota; Bacilli; Caryophanales; Caryophanaceae. The record is from RNAcentral.